Molecule: ribosomal RNA, 471 nt
Filed under: Kocuria palustris
Lineage: Bacteria; Bacillati; Actinomycetota; Actinomycetes; Micrococcales; Micrococcaceae
Description: bacterial SSU rRNA
Source: RNAcentral
AGUGGCGAACGGGUGAGUAAUACGUGAGUAACCUGCCCUUGACUCUGGGAUAAGCCCGGGAAACUGGGUCUAAUACUGGAUGCUACAUGUCACCGCAUGGUGGUGUGUGGAAAGGGUUUACUGGUCUUGGAUGGGCUCACGGCCUAUCAGCUUGUUGGUGAGGUAAUGGCUCACCAAGGCGACGACGGGUAGCCGGCCUGAGAGGGUGACCGGCCACACUGGGACUGAGACACGGCCCAGACUCCUACGGGAGGCAGCAGUGGGGAAUAUUGCACAAUGGGCGAAAGCCUGAUGCAGCGACGCCGCGUGAGGGAUGACGGCCUUCGGGUUGUAAACCUCUUUCAGCAGGGAAGAAGCCACAAGUGACGGUACCUGCAGAAGAAGCGCCGGCUAACUACGUGCCAGCAGCCGCGGUAAUACGUAGGGCGSRRGCGUUGUCCGGAAUUAUUGGGCGUAAAGAGCUCGUAGGCG